UGCCAGCCGCCGCGGUAAUACCGGCGCCUCAAGUGGUAGUCGAUUUUAUUGGGCCUAAAACGUCCGUCGCCGGUCUGGUGCAUUCGUGGGUAAAUCCACCCGCUCAACGGGUUGAAUUCUGCGAGCACGGCCAGACUAGGGACCGGGAGAGGUGUAGGGUACGCUCGGGGUAGGGGUAAAAUCCUGUCAUCCCGAGCGGACCACCUGUUGCGAAGGCGCUACACUAGAACGGAUCCGACGGUCAGGGACGAAGCCUAGGGGCACGAACCGGAUUAGAUA
RNAcentral lists this ribosomal RNA (279 nucleotides) under uncultured bacterium. RNAcentral's name for it is "partial 16S ribosomal RNA". It matches the Rfam family "Archaeal small subunit ribosomal RNA", at positions 456 to 735 of the family's 1478-position model. The record is from RNAcentral.